RNAcentral lists this non-coding RNA (118 nucleotides) under Tepidicaulis marinus. Its description in RNAcentral is "TPP sequence". It matches the Rfam family "TPP riboswitch aptamer (THI element)". Rfam says of the family: Vitamin B(1) in its active form thiamin pyrophosphate (TPP) is an essential coenzyme that is synthesised by coupling of pyrimidine and thiazole moieties in bacteria. Lineage: Bacteria; Pseudomonadati; Pseudomonadota; Alphaproteobacteria; Hyphomicrobiales; Parvibaculaceae. The record is from Rfam by way of RNAcentral.
CCCUGUUCCGAGGGGUGUUUGCGCAGGUAGACUGAACAGGCAGACUGAGAUGGCCGAGGCCGAACCCUUCGAACCUGAUCCGGGUCAUACCGGCGAAGGGACGGAAUACAAAGGUCGC